This 253-nucleotide ribosomal RNA is filed under the name uncultured bacterium. RNAcentral describes it as "partial 16S ribosomal RNA". It matches the Rfam family "Bacterial small subunit ribosomal RNA", at positions 524 to 776 of the family's 1533-position model. The record is from RNAcentral.
GACAGAGGGUGCAAACGUUGUUCGGAAUUACUGGGCGUAAAGCGUGCGUAGACGGUUAUUUAAGUCGGAUGUGAAAGCCCCGGGCUCAACCUGGGAAUUGCAUUCGAGACUGAAUAGCUAGGGUACGGUAGAGGGAAGCGGAAUUUCCGGUGUAGCGGUGAAAUGCGUAGAUAUCGGAAGGAACAUCAGAGGCGAAAGCGGCUUCCUGGACCAGUACCGACGUUCAGGCACGAAAGCGUGGGGAGCAACCAGG